CCCAUUAUAUCUCACUGAAACACACACGGGCUGGAAAAGGUCGUUUUACCCUACAUGGCUCUGUACACGUAUCCUCACGAGUGAGCCAACUGCACUCUCACUCCCACGAAACAUCACAGAGAAGAGCGAAUGCUUUCCAGUCAGGCAAAUCAGCAAACAGCCAGCACAUGCACAACACCUCCCUUCUGGAUGAGACUUUGGCAUGAGCGGCAGAUCACAUUAAUGCUCCAUCAUGUUACCACAGCAGAGCAUCGCUUGGCAAGAUGAUGCAGGAUACUCCCUCAAGAAAACUUUGAAAGAACAAUGCUGCACGGCUGAACUAGGACAUUACUGCUGCUGAUUAUGAAAUACGCUGCACCCAGCAAAUGGAUGAAUUUCAUUCCUAAGGGUGCGCCAAUGCUGCAGAACAGCACACUUGGAGUUCAGUGUACAAGCACCGAGAUGAGAAGCUAGGAAAAUUAACUCGUGGAGCUUUGUGGUAAAGCGGCUAGACUUCUUCCAAUACAUAAACUCACUUAUUUAGAAGCACAUUGACUGUUUAUACUUCACUGCAGCCUGUAGCAUAAAUUAUUUGGAGAAAACCAAGUGUAGGGGAAGAGCUGCUGUUCACACAGAACUACGGGCAGUAAAGAGUCUGUUUCUUUUUCAUUUCAAGAGAAUAUACAGGCUGCCCUUCAGAAUGGUACAAAUCCAAUACAUACACUGUUUUUUAUCAGGGAUUGGCCAGCCUAUGAUCUCUUUUUCUCUUUUAAAUACACUGAGCUGUUGCCAAGCACAGGGCCAGUUCAGCGCUCAUGGAGCAGCACACAACGCAUGCUUGGCCAGCCUAUAGAUUAGCCGUGUGCUGCCCUCCCCUACUGCUGUUUCUUCACCUCCUCCUUAUCCUUGCAGUGUCUCUUGCUAUUCUCUUUUUCUCCUAUUUCCUGCUUACGUUCUGUCUUCAGUGUACUCCUUCCUUUAUUCACUACAUUCACCUGUCUCCACCAGCUAAGGCCUGUUUCAAACAAAGGAACAAAGAGAAAACUGAACAGAAGUUUUCCAUUCCAGGCAACAACACGACUUUAGCUAGUAGCCGCACGGAACGCCUUGGUCCCCUUCUUUAGGACGCCUAUUUGCCUGUCGUGCCUGCAGAAGUAAUGUCUUUGUGACACGGUAGGCAGUAAAGCAGAACAAAGCUGUGAUUUUACUGAGGUCCUUCAGGACCUGCUGGAUGGGAGCAGCGCCGAGGCCAGUCCCUGCGCUAGCUGGAAGGUGCCUUGCAGACUGCAGGUGCGAUUUAAGCGUGUACACAAGGGGGAGGAGGUUUCAGGCCACGAAGAGAACUUCUGCUGUACUACAUGCAAAUAUCACAGCUGCCCAAAGUAGCUGUGAGACUAUUUCCUCCCUUAUAACUGGAGCACUUUAAAUACACAUUUUAAAAUUAAAAAUAUCUUUUUUUAGACUAAGAAAAAUAAUGACAAUAAAGCAGACAUAAAGUCUCCAGAGAGAUCCCAGUAGCACUUUGUAGAAGAGUGACCAUUUAUGUUUCUCUUUUAUAAGAGCGCAGAGUAGGUUAUGGAAAUGAACCAAUUAUCCACAAGAACAGAAUUCAGCUGUGAUAUACAGAAAACAAAAGACAUACUGUGUCUACAGCCAUAUACAAACAGCUCUUGACUGAGAUCAUUCCGAGCAGCGAGAAACGAGAAGAACAGAAACUAUCCCAUUGAAUGCUGAGGGCACCUUUAUAAGGAGGCCGUGUUCGACAGUGAGGUGAUGAACAACCAAUACACAUUUCAAACGCGAUAUUGCUGACUCUUUCAUUGUACGGUACUUUCAAGGAUAUUGGGCGAAAUUCAGAAGCCACAGAUAAACUUUCUCUGUUUGGAACAUUAUCCUGCCCACAGAGCCAGUAGGUCAUAUUUCAAGUGCGAUGCCAGUUCUGAGCUCACGUUUUCAUACUGUCUUCCUGUCUUUUACCACGGCAACCGCCAGCUCCUACCUACACUCAUCCUGAAGUGCAUCCCUGCUUUCCCCCCACUUCUUCUGUUGACCACUUUGGACUGAACUAAGAGUCAGCUAAGCCUGCUUAGGCAAACACGCCUGCUCCGAGUACUUACUCCUAUGACAAAUAACACAUAUUGUGUGUUUCUUUGUCUUUCCCCUCUUUUAUUUCUCAAUUUCAUAUUUUAGGUUUGAUUUGCUCUUAUGUUUUGAACAGAUUCCUAUUUUUCUCUCUUGAAUGACACUCCCAAAAAAGCAUCUUGUCUGUAUAAAUGCCGCCUGCUCAUGUACAACGUGCAUCCUGUAGUUACCUUACUGCUGCUUUGCUGAUGGGGGGGUAAGGUUUUGCUACUGAUAAUGGAGGCAAGAGUUCCUUAAUUCAUGAGGUAAGGGUUUAGGUUUUCAGCGCUGAAGCUCAAGAGCUCAUUCCCGUUUACGACCCAAGGGAGGAGCUGUUAUACAGGGUCCCGUCACUGAUUUCCAUCAUGCCAGCACUGCCUUCUCAUCAUCAUCUGCUUGGAUUGUUACCCAUAUAUCAUAUUUCCCCAUACUAGAGAACUCACAAUUCCUCACACCAGAGAAAUAAAUGUCCACUUCUUAACCAUUUGUUUGAAAAGGGUAGGAAAAACAUAUUACAGUGAGUGAUUUCAACCUUUGUACUGUCUGCUGGAGGUUUCAUGCUGCCAGAAACACACAAACCGAAGAUUAUUGCUGUUUAUAAAUGAUACCAAUCACUUUCUCCCUCAAAAAACUGUUGUAUCUACCAUAGCGGAAUGUUUGAGAAGUGAAAACGAAUGUAUUUAGUAAUAAAAAUUAGUGGCGUUGGAAUAUUUUUUGAUUGUUUUUGUUUUAAGAAAAUAAAGACUGAAUCAAUGACACACAUA
Phalacrocorax carbo (great cormorant) is the source of this 2864-nucleotide non-coding RNA. The record is from RefSeq and is a predicted model, not a curated record. NCBI's taxonomy places the organism in Eukaryota, Metazoa, Chordata, Aves, Suliformes, Phalacrocoracidae.